Molecule: ribosomal RNA, 1875 nt
Filed under: Corculum cardissa
Lineage: Eukaryota; Metazoa; Mollusca; Bivalvia; Cardiida; Cardiidae
Description: partial 18S ribosomal RNA
Rfam family: Eukaryotic small subunit ribosomal RNA
Source: RNAcentral
UCUUAAAGAUUAAGCCAUGCAAGUGUAAGUACGGCCCUACUCUUUGAGGGGGCGAGACUGCGGACGGCUCAUUAAAUCAGUUAUGAUUCCCAGGAGCCAGAACCACUUACUUGGAUAACUGUGGCAAUUCUAGAGCUAAUACAUGCACUUUAAGCUCCACCUGCCCCGUUCGCGGGGCGGGAGGUUGCGCACCUGUUAGCCUCGAAAGGCGGUGGCUUCGGUCCCGUCGAAAGGAGAUGAACUCUGGACAGCUUUUGCCGAUCGCACGGCCUCUUGAGCCGGCGACAUACCUUUCAAGUGUCUGACCUAUCAUACUAGAUGGUUUGCGCUCUGCGCACCAUGGUUGUAACGGGUAACGGGGAAUCAGGGUUCGAUUCCGGAGAGGGAGCAUGAGAAACGGCUGCCACAUCCAAGGAAGGCAGCAGGCACGCAACUUACCCAAUGCCGACACGGCGAGGUAGUGACGAAAAAUACCAAUACGGGAGCCGCUACACGCGGUCCCGCAAUUGAAAUGAGUACACUCUAAAUCCUUUAACGAGGAUCUAUUGGAGGGCAAGUCUGGUGCCAGCAGCCGCGGUAAUUCCAGCUCCAAUAGCGUAUGUCAAUGCUGCUGCGGUUAAAACGCUCGUAGUUGGAUCUCGGUGACGGGCCGACCGUCUCGCUCUCGGAGCGAUGCACGGUUGGCGAUAGGGGGAGAGUCGUUUUGCGGCUUCUCCUUACUAGCUCCGUCCCUCUGUCCGGAACACCUAGCCCGGGUGCUCUUGACUGAGUCGCUCGGUGCCAUGGCCGGACGCUUCACUGUGAAAAAAUUAGAGUGCUCAAAGCAGGCCUCAGUGCCGGCAUAUCGCUGCAUGGAAUGAUAGAGAAGGACCUCGGCGCACGACCCCUGACCAGGGCGUGGCGCACGAGGUAAUGAUUAAGAUGGACUGCCGGGGGCAUACGUACUGCGGCGCGAGAGGUGAAAUUCUGUGACCGUCGCAGGACGAACUAAAGCGAAGGCAUUUGCCAAGAAUGUCUUCAUUAAUCCAGAACGAAAGUCAGAGGCUCGAAGACGAUCAGAUACCGUCGUAGUUCUGACCGUAAACUCUGCCUACUGGCAAUCCGCCGACGGUAUCUCAACGACUCGGCGAGCGGCCUACCGGGAAACCAAAGUUUUUGGGUUCCGGGGGGAGUACGGUCGCAAGGCUGAAACUUAAAGGAAUUGACGGAAGGGCACCACCAGGAGUGGAGCCUGUGGCUUAAUUUGACUCAACACGGGAAAACUCACCCGGUCCGGACACUGGUAGGAUUGACAGACUAAAGCUCUUUCUUAAUUCAGUGGGUGGUGGUGCAUGGCCGUUCUUAGUUGGUGGAGUGAUUUGUCUGGUUAAUUCCGAUAACGAACGAGACUCUUGCCUGCUAAAUAGUUCGGGGACCCAGGGACCGCUCUCGAGCGGACCCGCUACGGGUCACCCGCAAACACUCCACGGAGUCAACUUCUUAGAGGCACAAGUGGCGCUUAGCCACACGAAACGGAGCAAUAACAGGUCUGUGAUGCCCUUAGAUGUCCGGGGCCGCACAUGCGCUACAAUGGCUACAUCAGCGCGAGUCUUUCCUGAAAGGGCAAGGGAACCGCUCAACCGCAGUCUCGGUUGGGAUUGGGGGCUGCAAGUGUCCCCCAUGAACACGGAAUUCCUAGUAGGCGCCAGUCAUCAGCUGGCGUCGAUUGAGUCCCUGCCCUUUGUACACACCGCCCGUCGCUACUACCGAUCGCUCUCGUUAAUGAGCCCGUCGGAUUGGACCCGGUGGGGUGCUCUUCUGGGGCGCCUCGCGUCAUGGUGUCUGCCGAGAAGAUGGGCGAAUUAUCGGGGGUAGAGGGAGUAAAAGUCGUAACAA